Molecule: long non-coding RNA, 349 nt
Filed under: Mytilus galloprovincialis (Mediterranean mussel)
Lineage: Eukaryota; Metazoa; Mollusca; Bivalvia; Mytilida; Mytilidae
Source: RNAcentral
AUUUUAACUCUGACAAAUUUAAAGACAGAUUAGAGGAAAUUAGUAAAAAAGUAAAAAAUUUAGAAAAAAAUCCAACUUUUUGUGAACUAGAUUACAGAAUAACCCUAAAAGAAAUUUUAGAUGCUAUAAAUAAACUAAUGAAUAAUAAAGCUGCAGGAUUGGAUGGUAUUCCAAAUGAGAUAUUAAAAUCUGGGGGAAGUAUAUUUGCACCUGUUUUGCAGAAACUUUUUAAUUUAGUAUUCUACUCUGGAAAAUACCCUCACAAAUGGGCAUUAUCUUAUUUAUGUCCAAUUUUUAAAGCAGGGAGUCCUAGUAAACCUGAAAAUUACAGAGGCAUAGUAAUAAAUUC